UACGUAGGUGGCGAGCGUUGUCCGGAUUUACUGGGCGUAAAGGGAGCGUAGGCGGACUUUUAAGUGAGAUGUGAAAUACCCGGGCUCAACUUGGGUGCUGCAUUUCAAACUGGAAGUCUAGAGUGCAGGAGAGGAGAAUGGAAUUCCUAGUGUAGCGGUGAAAUGCGUAGAGAUUAGGAAGAACACCAGUGGCGAAGGCGAUUCUCUGGACUGUAACUGACGCUGAGGCUCGAAAGCGUGGAGAGCAAACAGGAUUAGAUACCCU
Molecule: ribosomal RNA, 265 nt
Filed under: uncultured prokaryote
Description: partial 16S ribosomal RNA
Rfam family: Bacterial small subunit ribosomal RNA
Source: RNAcentral